GCCUAACACAUGCAAGUCGAGCGGCAGCGGGAGGUGCUUGCACCUCGCCGGCGAGCGGCGGACGGGUGAGUAAUGCAUAGGAAACUGCCCGGUAGUGGGGGAUAACCUGGGGAAACCCAGGCUAAUACCGCAUACGUCCUACGGGAGAAAGCAGGGGCUCUUCGGACCUUGCGCUAUCGGAUGUGCCUAUGUCGGAUUAGCUAGUUGGUGAGGUAACGGCUCACCAAGGCGACGAUCCGUAGCUGGUCUGAGAGGAUGAUCAGCCACACUGGGACUGAGACACGGCCCAGACUCCUACGGGAGGCAGCAGUGGGGAAUAUUGGACAAUGGGCGAAAGCCUGAUCCAGCCAUGCCGCGUGUGUGAAGAAGGCUUUCGGGUUGUAAAGCACUUUCAGUGGGGAAGAAAGCCUGGCGGUUAAUACCCGUCAGGGACGACAUCACCCACAGAAGAAGCACCGGCUAACUCCGUGCCAGCAGCCGCGGUAAUACGGAGGGUGCGAGCGUUAAUCGGAAUUACUGGGCGUAAAGCGCGCGUAGGCGGCUUGAUAAGCCGGGUGUGAAAGCCCUGGGCUCAACCUGGGAACGGCAUCCGGAACUGUCAAGCUAGAGUGCAGGAGAGGAAGGUAGAAUUCCCGGUGUAGCGGUGAAAUGCGUAGAGAUCGGGAGGAAUACCAGUGGCGAAGGCGGCCUUCUGGACUGACACUGACGCUGAGGUGCGAAAGCGUGGGUAGCAAACAGGAUUAGAUACCCUGGUAGUCCACGCCGUAAACGAUGUCGACUAGCCGUUGGGCUCCUCGCGAGCUUAGUGGCGCAGUUAACGCGAUAAGUCGACCGCCUGGGGAGUACGGCCGCAAGGUUAAAACUCAAAUGAAUGAAC
Molecule: ribosomal RNA, 877 nt
Filed under: Modicisalibacter xianhensis
Lineage: Bacteria; Pseudomonadati; Pseudomonadota; Gammaproteobacteria; Oceanospirillales; Halomonadaceae
Description: bacterial SSU rRNA
Rfam family: Bacterial small subunit ribosomal RNA
Source: RNAcentral